This 1203-nucleotide long non-coding RNA is filed under the name Homo sapiens (human). Its description in RNAcentral is "long non-coding RNA NONHSAT171075.1". The record is from RNAcentral. Lineage: Eukaryota; Metazoa; Chordata; Mammalia; Primates; Hominidae.
CUCAGUUCUUCAGGGCCGCGGAGGCCGCGACGCGCGCCGCCCCGAGCGGGUUGCGAGCGGUUGGCUGGCGGGGGUCGGAAGGGCCCCGGGCACACUGGGGCGCGUCAGUUCCCCGCCUCCUCCGAGUCUCAGGUCCUCUUCGGGAUGUUUUUCCACCUGCGGCGUUUUUCAGAAACCAGCCGGAGGCAGCCCGGUGUCUCCAACUCCUGACUGGCACCGGGAAGGGAAUUGGUCUCUUUUUUUCCUGCUUGGGUUUAGCUUGCUUAGGAUUCUAAAUUUUUUGUCUGCUUUUUUGAAAUAGUUAUAUUUAAGUUUUAGCUACCUAAAAAAGUAUGAAAGAAUAUUGUGUUUGAAAUCUUUUUAACUUGGUUUUUAAGUCACGUGCUAACUAUCCUACACAGUUGGGACGCUAUGAUUUACCUUCACAUCUCGGAAGUUGUAACCAGUUGUGAGGAAGUUAGGACCUUGGGGUUACCUAAAGAUAAUUUAUAUUAAGUUGUUGGGCCAUAAAAACUGGGCAGAAUUGGCCACGCGCGGUGACUCAACGCCUGUAAUCCCAGCACUUUGGGAGGCCGACGCGGACUAAUCACGAGGAAUGAAUCUGAAGUCUGCUGCAGUAAAACACAGAAGGCUUUAAAAUGUUUUCUUGCAUAAAAUUCAAAACUUUUAAGUAGCUGCUUAUGAGAAUAGGGAAGGCAGAAAGCUAAUGUCUGUCUCAAGAUACAGGACAGCUGUUUGCUCAUCAACCUCAACUGUGUGUGCAACUGAGGAACAUGGCUCAAGAAACUAAUCACAGCCAAGUGCCUAUGCUUUGUUCCACUGGCUGUGGAUUUUAUGGAAACCCUCGUACAAAUGGCAUGUGUUCAGUAUGCUAUAAAGAACAUCUUCAAAGACAGAAUAGUAGUAAUGGUAGAAUAAGCCCACCUGCAACCUCUGUCAGUAGUCUGUCUGAAUCUUUACCAGUUCAAUGCACAGAUGGCAGUGUGCCAGAAGCCCAGUCAGCAUUAGACUCUACAUCUUCAUCUAUGCAGCCCAGCCCUGUAUCAAAUCAGUCACUUUUAUCAGAAUCUGUAGCAUCUUCUCAAUUGGACAGUACAUCUGUGGACAAAGCAGUACCUGAAACAGAAGAUGUGCAGGCUUCAGUAUCAGACACAGCACAGCAGCCAUCUGAAGAGCAAAGCAAGUCUCUUGAAAAACCGAAAC